This 330-nucleotide ribosomal RNA is filed under the name uncultured eukaryote. Its description in RNAcentral is "partial 18S ribosomal RNA". It matches the Rfam family "Eukaryotic small subunit ribosomal RNA", at positions 1470 to 1796 of the family's 1831-position model. The record is from RNAcentral.
CCCUUAGACGUUCGGGGCCGCACGCGCGCUACACUGAAGGAAUCAGCACGUCUUUCUCCUUGUCCGAAAGGACUGGGUAACCCGCUGAACCUCCUUCGUGCUAGGGAUUGGGGCUUGUAAUUCUUCCCCAUGAACGAGGAAUUCCCAGUAAGCGCGAGUCAUAAGCUCGCGUUGAUUACGUCCCUGCCCUUUGUACACACCGCCCGUCGCUACUACCGAUUGGAUGGUUUAGUGAGAUCCUCGGAUUGGUCCCGGAGCGGCCUCUGGUCGUGCCGGAGUGCCGAAAAGAAUGUCGAACUUGAUCAUCUAGAGGAAGUAAAAGUCGUAACA